GUCCAUUUCCUGGAAGCUCUAGGAUGGCAGGAUCCUCGUGACGUUCGGUAUACAAAUCCAGAAUGCUGGCAGAAUGAGCCCAGGCCUCCGUGACUCUCUCUGUUCCCUCAUCGUCUGCGUCUCUGCUGGACUCUGAGCUGCCGUGGGGCAGGGAAGGUGGCGACACUCCUAACACCUUCCAGAGCCCGGCACCGAGCAGGUGCUCAGGCAAUCAUGAAUGAAAAACAAAUCUGGGCCAGCACCUUCCCUGAUGGAGGGACAAAUGUCCCAGGUUCUCCACAAACCUUCCCACAGUCCCAGGUAGGUGGCUCCCGGAGAGGUGGGACGAGGGCUGCAGUCCUGCCGGUGAAGCGGAAUUCCACCUCUUAUCACAGCUGCGGCUCUGGGUGCCUCCCUCAUCCGAUCCGAAUCCUGGUGGAUGCCCGAUGCCAACAGUGAGGAGCAAACAAAAUCCUGCCCUUGAGCAGAGAGCCCCCGGUGCCUACGGAGCGCUCACUGUGAGUGUCACUAUAGGGCUCCUCUGGAGGUAGCACUAGGUCCCGCGGGACACACAGAGCACACUCGCUGAUUCACCAAGCCUGCUGUUGGCUGUGGGGCGUGGACCCCUCCCCCUCUCAGCGCAACAGAGCCUCACACCAGCCAGCACAGAAAACAUUGCUUUAUUAACUGCGUUUGCCAACACACGAGAGGUGCAAAGGGCUCCUUGAGACACUGGCCCUGGUGGCGGCCGGGGUCUGGAUACCCCCAUGAGUGAGCAGGACAGGAUGGGGGUGGGAGCUACGCAGCGGCAGUAACACAAAGUCAUGCAGGGCACGUGGGCACUGGCCACAGAAGGCGGCCGUACAUUCUAUUGC
Long non-coding RNA from Ailuropoda melanoleuca (giant panda), 854 nucleotides. RefSeq lists it as uncharacterized. The record is from RefSeq and is a predicted model, not a curated record. The transcript has 2 exons. NCBI's taxonomy places the organism in Eukaryota, Metazoa, Chordata, Mammalia, Carnivora, Ursidae.